This 330-nucleotide ribosomal RNA is filed under the name uncultured eukaryote. RNAcentral describes it as "partial 18S ribosomal RNA". It matches the Rfam family "Eukaryotic small subunit ribosomal RNA", at positions 1469 to 1796 of the family's 1831-position model. The record is from RNAcentral.
UCCCUUAGGUGUUCUGGGCCGCACGCGCGCUACACUGACGAUGGCAACGAGUUUUUCCUUCGCCGAAAGGUGUGGGUAAUCUUUUGAAACAUCGUCGUGCUGGGGAUAGAUCAUUGCAAUUUUUGAUCUUGAACGAGGAAUUCCUAGUAAGCGCGAGUCAUCAGCUCGCGUUGAUUACGUCCCUGCCCUUUGUACACACCGCCCGUCGCUACUACCGAUUGAAUGGUUUAGUGAGGACUCCUGAUUGGCGCCGCCGCCCCGGCAACGGAGCAGCGGACUGCCGAAAAGUUGUUCAAACUUGAUCAUUUAGAGGAAGUAAAAGUCGUAACA